UGUCAGAACUCAAAGAUAGAAACUCAAACAAGCAGCUUCCUUUUAAUGUUCUAUAACACCUGUAUGAGAAGAGUACAGAUGAAUGUAUUUCAUGGAUUUUGAUGUUCUUUAUCUGAGAAGGUGCAGAGAACCAAAAAGUCUACCACAAAAAAAUCUGGUAAAGGCUGCAAAGUUGAACAUAUGGAAGUCAAAGGAAACAG
RNAcentral lists this long non-coding RNA (200 nucleotides) under Elaeis guineensis (African oil palm). Its description in RNAcentral is "long non-coding RNA (EGUI_LNC031161)". Lineage: Eukaryota; Viridiplantae; Streptophyta; Magnoliopsida; Arecales; Arecaceae. The record is from RNAcentral.